GAGUCGGGUUUUCAAAAAUCCGAAUCUAAACCCGAAAACCAAAUUGAAAUCCGAAUCCGAACCCGAAUCCGAACCUGGUGGGUUUUAAAAAUUCAUAACCAUAUUCGACCCCGACUCAAAAUCUAAAACCCGAACCCGAAAACCUGAAUCUGAAAUAAUGAUUUCUCUUUACCAUAUUUCAAAAUAUAUUAUCGUAAAAUUAAAAAUUUUCAAAACACAAUCAAAUAAUAGAACAGACCUAUUAGGGUUUGAAUUUUGGAAGAUAAAUUGACUACUGUAUAUCGUUGGAUGAAGAUCCAAUGGAUAAAAAUUAUUAGACAUUUUAUAUAUUGUAUAAAUAAAUAAAUAAAAAAAAUAUAUAUAAUUUAUUCGGGUUCGGAUUCCGGUUUGGAUUCGGAUUGAAUAAAUACAAAAUCCAUACCUGUAUCCAAAUCUGUCGGGCUUUUAUUUUUUAUACCUAAUUACCUACAACCAAAUUCAUAUUCGUUUAGCUCAGAUAAAUCUGCGCCAUUCGGAUUUGGGUUCGGAUUCGAAUUCAAAUUCGAAUAAUAUUUCUGGUAUCCAUACUCAUUAACAUCCCUAACUGCAUAGCAGGCAAUU
RNAcentral lists this long non-coding RNA (600 nucleotides) under Ananas comosus (pineapple). RNAcentral describes it as "long non-coding RNA (ACOM_LNC030472)". The record is from RNAcentral. Lineage: Eukaryota; Viridiplantae; Streptophyta; Magnoliopsida; Poales; Bromeliaceae.